Non-coding RNA from Myotis lucifugus (little brown bat), 75 nucleotides. The record is from Rfam. NCBI's taxonomy places the organism in Eukaryota, Metazoa, Chordata, Mammalia, Chiroptera, Vespertilionidae.
GGCAGUUCUCAGAUGACACACCCCGGAAUCGGGCCCCCUCCUCUCUGGUUCCAGGUGCAUUACCCAAGAACCGCA